This is a small nucleolar RNA of Anthonomus grandis grandis, 71 nucleotides long. RefSeq annotates it as small nucleolar RNA SNORD58. The transcript has a single exon. Lineage: Eukaryota; Metazoa; Arthropoda; Insecta; Coleoptera; Curculionidae. The record is from RefSeq and is a predicted model, not a curated record.
AAACCAUGAUGACUUAUCUUAGGACACCUUUAGAUGUACCAUGAAACAAACCGAUAGUGGGACUGAGUUUA